UAGGGAAUCUUCGGCAAUGGGGGGAACCCUGACCGAGCAACGCCGCGUGAGUGAAGAAGGUUUUCGGAUCGUAAAGCUCUGUUGUUAAGGAAGAACGAGUGUGAGAAUGGAAAGUUCAUACUGUGACGGUACUUAACCAGAAAGGGACGGCUAACUACGUGCCAGCAGCCGCGGUAAUACGUAGGUCCCGAGCGUUGUCCGGAUUUAUUGGGCGUAAAGCGAGCGCAGGCGGUUAGAUAAGUCUGAAGUUAAAGGCAGUGGCUCAACCAUUGUAGGCUUUGGAAACUGUUUAACUUGAGUGCAGAAGGGGGGAGUGGAAUUCCAUGUGUAGCGGUGAAAUGCGUAGAUAUAUGGAGGAACACCGGUGGCGAAAGCGGCUCUCUGGUCUGUAACUGACGCUGAGGCUCGAAAGCGUGGGGAGCGAACAGGAUUAGAUACCCUGGUAGUCCACGCCGUAAACGAUGAGUGCUAGGUGUUAGGUCCUUUCCGGGACUUAGUGCCGCAGCUAACGCAUUAAGCACUCCGCCUGGGGAGUACGACCGCAAGGUUG
RNAcentral lists this ribosomal RNA (550 nucleotides) under uncultured bacterium. Its description in RNAcentral is "bacterial SSU rRNA". It matches the Rfam family "Bacterial small subunit ribosomal RNA", at positions 355 to 896 of the family's 1533-position model. The record is from RNAcentral.